This 437-nucleotide unclassified non-coding RNA is filed under the name Clostridium botulinum. RNAcentral describes it as "partial miscellaneous RNA". The stretch from base 1 to 140 matches the Rfam family "Bacterial small subunit ribosomal RNA", at positions 1395 to 1533 of the family's 1533-position model. Lineage: Bacteria; Bacillati; Bacillota; Clostridia; Eubacteriales; Clostridiaceae. The record is from RNAcentral.
CGUCACACCAUGAGAGUUGGCAAUACCCAAAGUUCGUGAGCUAACCCGUAAGGAGGCAGCGACCUAAGGUAGGGUCAGCGAUUGGGGUGAAGUCGUAACAAGGUAGCCGUAGGAGAACCUGCGGCUGGAUCACCUCCUUUCUAUGGAGAAAUCUAGUUAACACGACGUUUAACUAGUAAUUAAAAUAUACUUACUUCGAAAAAGAAGGUUUAAUUUAAUGUAGAUUCUGUUCAAUUUUGAAAGACUAAGUCUUUCAAAAUGUUCUUUGAAAAUUGCACAUAGAAUACGAAGUUUAAAGAAGAUUAAUACAAAAAUCAUGAAAAUGACGUAAGUAAUAAGAUUCAAUAAAUAAGUAUAUUGUAUAUAAUACAACAAGCCAAGAAUAUAUUCUUUGUAUAAAUAAGAACUAUUCAUUAAUUGUUAAAAUUAAAUUAAUA